UGGGGAAUAUUGCACAAUGGGCGCAAGCCUGAUGCAGCCAUGCCGCGUGUGUGAAGAAGGCCUUCGGGUUGUAAAGCACUUUCAGCGAGGAGGAAGGUGGUGAGCUUAAUACGCUCAUCAAUUGACGUUACUCGCAGAAGAAGCACCGGCUAACUCCGUGCCAGCAGCCGCGGUAAUACGGAGGGUGCAAGCGUUAAUCGGAAUUACUGGGCGUAAAGCGCACGCAGGCGGUUUGUUAAGUCAGAUGUGAAAAUCCCCGGGCUCAACCUGGGAACUGCAUUUGAAACUGGCAAGCUAGAGUCUCGUAGAGGGGGGUAGAAUUCCAGGUGUAGCGGUGAAAUGCGUAGAGAUCUGGAGGAAUACCGGUGGCGAAGGCGGCCCCCUGGACGAAGACUGACGCUCAGGUGCGAAAGCGUGGGGCAGCAAACAGGAUUAGAUACCCUGGUAGU
RNAcentral lists this ribosomal RNA (449 nucleotides) under uncultured bacterium. RNAcentral describes it as "partial 16S ribosomal RNA". It matches the Rfam family "Bacterial small subunit ribosomal RNA", at positions 355 to 794 of the family's 1533-position model. The record is from RNAcentral.